This 3451-nucleotide ribosomal RNA is filed under the name Trichoplusia ni (cabbage looper). Its description in RNAcentral is "eukaryotic LSU rRNA". The stretch from base 1791 to 3451 matches the Rfam family "Eukaryotic large subunit ribosomal RNA", at positions 1890 to 3338 of the family's 3401-position model. The record is from RNAcentral. Lineage: Eukaryota; Metazoa; Arthropoda; Insecta; Lepidoptera; Noctuidae.
GUAUGUGCCUGCAUAUUUAAAUAAGUCAAGGUAUGAAAACAAAACGUAUCCUAACACUUUACAUAAACGUCCAUUACCCUGUUCGCUAAAUAUUUUGAUGGCCCCCAGCGUUGGUUUGGGAACAAAUAUUUGUGUGAAAACAGAGCGAUUUUCAUGGUUAUUUCGCUUCCUGAGUCAUGAAUUAAAAUUGUGGUGUCUUUGUUGUUGAUGCUGUUUUUAGUAGUCUGUCAGACAGUAAAUAGAUGCAUCAAAAGUAGGCCUUAGUAUGUUGGUAAGGUUAAAAAGUCUUCUCAUAAAGUCACUGAAAAGGAAUAUAAGUCACUAUUGUAUUAAGAGUGUGUAAGACAAUUAAUAAUGUCCAAGAACAAUGCGGCCGACGAACCUGGCCGUUGGAAAGAGAGAUAAUUGAUUGUUAGAGCGAGAUCAAAGUAUAGGUACUAUAGAUACACGUUGUAUGAGUAGUCAUAAGUAGUCAUUCAGUUAGAAAACAUUGUAAAGUAUGCAGAUAAGAGUUACAAAAGAUCAGUUUUGUUUCAAUAUUACGAAGGCCUACAACAACGUUUUAAAGAAAUAUAGUUGCAGUUGUUAAAAAGAGAUGACGCUCUACACCGUGUAAUGCGCUGUCACGCUUUUACAUAUGCAAUAAUAUUACUUUAAGACGUGGCAGUAGGCUCUCAAGUAAAGUUACUUGUAAACAUUGAUACAUUUACUAUAGACAUGAUUAAAGGAUUACAGGGAUUUGUAAAGUGAAUGUGACGUGGGUAGCGUUUCAAGAGUGAGUGAAGUCAUAAAUGUGUUGGCACUUAGCCAGAUGUACUACGGGAUUUAUGUUUUGAAUUUGAAAUUAAUAUCAAUAUAAGUGAUUUCGUGUGGCUACGACGUCGUUGGUGCAGUGAAGUGAACAGAUGUUGUGCAUUCGUUUUCUGGAUUAAAACCUAUGCGGUUUAUUUAGUACAUUGCCGAAACAAUAUUGAAACUUAUCUAAGUGAGUAAAGAGUUCACAGUUAUAUAGUAAAGUUCCUGAAGGAGCUGUGGCCAGCUAGGAUUUUAAAUUGCAAAUGAUUUUCAAUCCUAUCCACAUGAUUGAAAGGUUUACAAUAAAUUAUGCUGCCGGCCAAAACUCUUUCGAUGAUGAUUGACACUAAGAUUAUUAUUUUCUGAUAGUCUUUUGAGAAGGAAAAAUAUGUUUUUUUUUUACCAGCACGAUAACGCUAUACUGGAUCCAAUCACGCAUUAUUCCUCCUAUAUAAUAUAAUCGUAGUACCGUAUAAUUGCCCGUCAAUUAUGCCCAUUCAAUUAAUUGACAACAAUGUCGCUGAUUAGUUUAGCAUCAAGCAACUCAAAGCCAUCUCAUUUCAAAGAAAUCGAUAUAUCAAGAUGAUAAUUAUCAUGAUUACAAUUAAAUAAUUCAAAUUUUUGACAAACUUCGAAACUGCAGCAUCUAUAUUUACUCGCUGUUGCUAUAUCAACGAACCAACCAAACUAUCAAUCUAGGUUUUUGAAUUUAAUCACUUUAUUGUCACACGUCUCUGGUGAACGUAUUAUGAAAGCAAAGGUCAAAAAAUAUACUACACCUUUAGAUAGAAUAUUGUGUAAUUUUACAUGGUAUGUUAUCAAAUAACCCAGUUCGAUAGUUGGUUGACGAGCUAAAAAAGCAUUGAUAUAGAAAAUUUUAAUUUUAGAAUAUUUUUUUACACGAUAACGCGUGUGACGAUUUAAAACGCUGUUUUAACAAGCGGAGUUGUGCUAUUUCAGCUCAGUGUUGGUCCUUUUGCCAUAGUAUAGUAUCCACAGUUUCUAAUUAGUUAAAGAAAAUGUACAAAAUCCCGAAUCACGUCUAUACCAGUGAAUUGCUAGAGACCAAUAGUCCGAUAUACUACCAUUUUUUUUGACACGAAGACAAAAACAGCUAUUCUCUCCAAAACUAACGGACGGGAAGCGGAUGCGGCCGGUGCCGGGCCUGGUCGAUGCUCUCGCGUCUUUCGGGGCGCGAGGGCGGAAUCCGGACCCGCGUUCCGGCCUUCCGCGGAUCUUCCUAGCCGUAAGGCCGUGUCGGUCUCGACUCGUGCGCGAUCGGCGCGGUUCUGUACGACCGCCGUUCAACGGUCAGCUCAGAACUGGCACGGACAAGGGGAAUCCGACUGUCUAAUUAAAACAAAGCAUUGCGAUGGCCCUCGCGGGUGUUGACGCAAUGUGAUUUCUGCCCAGUGCUCUGAAUGUCAACGUGAAGAAAUUCAAGCAAGCGCGGGUAAACGGCGGGAGUAACUAUGACUCUCUUAAGGUAGCCAAAUGCCUCGUCAUCUAAUUAGUGACGCGCAUGAAUGGAUUAACGAGAUUCCCACUGUCCCUAUCUACUAUCUAGCGAAACCACAGCCAAGGGAACGGGCUUGGGAGAAUCAGCGGGGAAAGAAGACCCUGUUGAGCUUGACUCUAGUCUGGCAUUGUAAGGAGACAUGAGAGGUGUAGCAUAAGUGGGAGAUCGUUCGCGCGAUCGUCGCUGAAAAACCACUACUUUCAUUGUUUCAUUACUUACUCGGUUGGGCGGAAGCGGUGCGCGGUCGAUGUUAAUCGGCGGGCGCACGGUGUUUCGUUCCAAGCGUGCAGAGUGGCGACGUGGCGGCAACGCUCGUCGCCGUAAAACUCCCGCGUGAUCCGGUUCGAGGACACUGCCAGGCGGGUAGUUUGACUGGGGCGGUACAUCUGUCAAAGAAUAACGCAGGUGUCCUAAGGCCAGCUCAGCGAGGACAGAAACCUCGCGUGGAGCAAAAGGGCAAAAGCUGGCUUGAUCCAGAUGUUCAGUACGCAUAGGGACUGCGAAAGCACGGCCUAUCGAUCCUUUAGUAUAAAGAGUUUUUAGCAAGAGGUGCCAGAAAAGUUACCACAGGGAUAACUGGCUUGUGGCAGCCAAGCGUUCAUAGCGACGUUGCUUUUUGAUCCUUCGAUGUCGGCUCUUCCUAUCAUUGCGAAGCAAAAUUCGCCAAGCGUUGGAUUGUUCACCCAUCAAAAGGGAACGUGAGCUGGGUUUAGACCGUCGUGAGACAGGUUAGUUUUACCCUACUGAUGGCUUGUCGUUGCGAUAGUAAUACUGCUCAGUACGAGAGGAACCGCAGUUUCGGACAUUUGGUUCAUGCACUCGGCCGAGCGGCCGGUGGUGCGAAGCUACCAUCCGCGGGAUUAUGCCUGAACGCCUCUAAGGCCGAAGCCAGCCUAGCCGAAUCCGGCAAGGAUAUGCUCACUGUGGAGCCCCGAGAGUCGGGAGGCUCUAAACAAUGUGACUUUACUAGUCGCGCUUCACCACGUGAGGUGCGACGUCGAAGCCCAUUUGGAUCGCGGAGAUCGAUGCUGUCCGUUUAACGCGUGCAUCACGGCUCCGAAGGUCCGAAUUUACCUCAGUUCGAUGUCGGGGCUCGGAAUAGUCUGUAGACGACUUCCGUUCCUGGCGGGGUGUUGU